GCUCACGUGGCGGAAUUGGUAGACGCGCUAGAUUCAGGAUCUAGUGGGGCGACCCGUGGAGGUUCGAGUCCUCUCGUGAGCA
RNAcentral lists this transfer RNA (82 nucleotides) under Verrucomicrobiales bacterium. RNAcentral's name for it is "tRNA-Leu". It matches the Rfam family "tRNA". From Rfam's summary of the family: Transfer RNA (tRNA) molecules are approximately 80 nucleotides in length. Their secondary structure includes four short double-helical elements and three loops (D, anti-codon, and T loops). Lineage: Bacteria; Pseudomonadati; Verrucomicrobiota; Verrucomicrobiia; Verrucomicrobiales. RNAcentral also lists the same sequence under 1 other name. The record is from RNAcentral.